UGAGGAAUAUUGGUCAAUGGACGCAAGUCUGAACCAGCCAAGUAGCGUGCAGGAUGACGGCCCUAUGGGUUGUAAACUGCUUUUAUAUGGGGAUAAAGUGGGGAACGUGUUCCCUUUUGCAGGUACCAUAUGAAUAAGGACCGGCUAAUUCCGUGCCAGCAGCCGCGGUAAUACGGAAGGUUCGGGCGUUAUCCGGAUUUAUUGGGUUUAAAGGGAGCGUAGGCCGUUUGGUAAGCGUGUUGUGAAAUGUAGGAGCUCAACUUCUAGAUUGCAGCGCGAACUGUCAGACUUGAGUGCCCACAACGUAGGCGGAAUUCAUGGUGUAGCGGUGAAAUGCUUAGAUAUCAUGAAGAACUCCGAUUGCGAAGGCAGCUUACGGGAGCGCAACUGACGCUGAAGCUCGAAGGUGCGGGUAUCGAACAGG
Molecule: ribosomal RNA, 424 nt
Filed under: Verrucomicrobiota bacterium
Lineage: Bacteria; Pseudomonadati; Verrucomicrobiota
Description: Verrucomicrobia bacterium partial 16S ribosomal RNA
Rfam family: Bacterial small subunit ribosomal RNA
Source: RNAcentral